Molecule: ribosomal RNA, 405 nt
Filed under: Helix figulina
Lineage: Eukaryota; Metazoa; Mollusca; Gastropoda; Stylommatophora; Helicidae
Description: partial large subunit ribosomal RNA
Rfam family: Archaeal large subunit ribosomal RNA
Source: RNAcentral
AGCUACUUGAGUUAAUAAGUAGUUAUUUCUGCUCCAUGAUAAUUAAAUAGCCGCAGUACCCUGACUGUGCAAAGGUAGCAUAAUCAGUUGGCUCUUAAUUAGAGUCUGGAAUGAAUGAAAACAUGGAUGGUAACUAUCUAAGUGUAUUUUUUUGAACUUAAUAAAUAAGUGAAAAUACUUAUAUUAAUACAAUAGACGAGAAGACCCUAGAAACUUGAAUUGAUUUUUGUUGGGGCGACAAAAUUACAUUUAACUAAUUUUUUUAACGGGACGUUAAAACGAAAGAAUAAGUUACUCUAGGGAUAACAGCAUAAUUUUAAUAGUUUGUGACCUCGAUGUUGGACUAGGUAUUAUAUCCUUAAGAUAAGGAUAUAAGGUGCUCUGUUCGAGCAAAUACACCUACAU